RNAcentral lists this unclassified non-coding RNA (818 nucleotides) under Rattus norvegicus (Norway rat). RNAcentral describes it as "partial immature urocortin antisense mRNA". Lineage: Eukaryota; Metazoa; Chordata; Mammalia; Rodentia; Muridae. The record is from RNAcentral.
UCACUUGCCCACCGAAUCGAAUAUGAUGCGGUUCUGCUCUGCGCGCUCGCGCUGGCUCUGUGUCCGAGCUAGCUCUAGCAGGGUCCGCAGCAGGUGGAAGGUGAGGUCGAUGGACAACGGCGGGUCGUCUCGUCGUUGCCGCUCGCCUGCAGGCUCAGAUCCCGCGCGGCGCGGGAAGCGCUCCGCUAACAGCAAGAGGAGUGCGCGGACACCUCCGCCCUGAUUCCGCACUCCGGGGUUCCAUCGCAGAUUCGGAUCCUGGACCACAUUCGCCGCCGCAGCCGCUGGGCUCCACUGGCUGCUCUCCGGGCGCAGCUGAACCAGAAGCAGCAACGCUACCAGGAGCGUAGCGCGUCCCCUCUGCCUCAUGGUGCCGCCUGCCAUCGCAGAUUCGGAUCCUGGAUCCAGGAUCCGAAUCUGCGAUCUGGACACACAGGGGCAGCAUAGGGUGAGAUGCACUUGGAGCAGUCACAGGUGACACGAGCCCCUUCGCGCACACGCCCAAUGUCCCCGCUAGGACCCUCCAGCUGUUGCCUGGUGUCCACAACCUGCCCACCAGCCCAAGGCGCUGUGCCACUCCAGUUCCACCCCUCCCUCCUUUCCCUCCGGGCAGGUCAAAGUGGGUGGGCUUAGUGCAGAGUCCUGGCGGUAAGGGAGUCUGGAUCGUUUGCUCCAAGCCACUCACAGGUUAUCGGAGUGUCUAUCCAGUGCAAGAUGGAGGCAAGAUGGAGCUCCAGUCUCUGUCCCCGGGGACGGGUUGAAGACGCCUUGGGGAGCACGGGGUCGGUCCCGGGACCGCCGCCAGCCUUAUAUAGCAC